This 386-nucleotide ribosomal RNA is filed under the name uncultured prokaryote. RNAcentral describes it as "bacterial SSU rRNA". It matches the Rfam family "Archaeal small subunit ribosomal RNA", at positions 339 to 727 of the family's 1478-position model. RNAcentral also lists the same sequence under 1 other name. The record is from RNAcentral.
UCGCGAAAACUUCACAAUGGGGGAAACCCCGAUGAGGGAAUUCCAAGUGCCAGCACAUUGUGUUGGCUGUUCUCUGGUCUAAAAAACCGGAGAAGUAAGGGCCGGGUAAGACGGGUGCCAGCCGCCGCGGUAAUACCCGCGGCCCAAGUGGUGGUCGAUAUUAUUGAGCCUAAAACGUCCGUAGCCGGUCUUGUAAAUCCUUGGGUAAAUCGACCAGCUCAACUGUUCGAAGUCCGGGGAGACUGCAAGACUUGGGAUCGGGAGAGGUGAGAGGUACUUCUGGGGUAGGGGUAAAAUCCUGUAAUCCUAGAAGGACCACCGGUGGCGAAGGCGUCUCACUAGAACGAAUCCGACGGUGAGGGACGAAGCCCUGGGGCGCAAACGGG